AAAAUUAAAAAAAAAUAGGCAGUUGCCACUUUGUAGAUCAUAAAUAAAAGUGAUGUUAAAAAAAUUUUAAUUGGGAGGUCAUUAAGCCGAAGCAUUCCCAGCACUUUAAGUUCCUAGGUAAGCAAACCAAAGCCCAAUGUGAACAGUAAAAUGAAACUAGAGAAGUUACCAUCAGAAACCUCCAACUAACCUCUAACUAGGGACUUUCUACUCUAACAAAUCAAAUAUGUUUUCUUUGUCUUACUUCCACGUUCCGCCUAUUAAAGCUCACUACCCAUGCUGCUGGGUAGAGCUCUCUGAACCUUUUCUGGUUCUGGGUGCUGCCCAAUUCAUGAAUCCUCUAAUGCUCACAUAAACUCUGUUAAAAGUAUUGUGUCCAGUGUUUUUCUUUUAACAGUGGCAAAAAGACUAACUUACAGGUUCCAUUUUUGUUGACUUGAAUCUUUCGACUCUGAACAAGAGGGACCCCUCACUGGAAUCUCUGUUUUUAUUAUGAUUUUUAUAUAAUGUGCUAGUUUUUACAGAAGUAAUUCAAGUGUACUCCGACAUAUAUGGCUUAAAAACUUUGAUUCAUCAGAAUAAGAGUCAUUUUCUAUUUUACACUCUACUUUCUGCUACAGAAUUAUUUCCAGUUGUCAUGUAUUAAGAUGGAACCCAAAGAAGACAUCAUCCAGCAAGUAACCUUAACAUCUGGACGCAGACAGCCCCAGCAAUCCUGGAGGAAACCUUGGAAAUACGCGGGUCAUCUUCUAUGAAGACCACAGCAGCCCUGAGAAACCAAUACAGCGUUCCAAUCUUUAAAAGAAGAGCCAAACGUCAUGCCUGGAUUAUUCCAGAAUUUUGCUGCUACGAACAAUGCUGCUAAGAUGAGUGUCUUCAAUCACUUGCACAAUUGUUUCUCUAGUCUAUAAUAUAUUCCUUGGAGUGGAGAUGCCAAGUCAUAAAUAUGUAAGAGUUCAACUUCCAUAGGCAUCACCACAACGUUUUCCAAUGUGGUUUGCGAAUGCACACUUCCACCAGCAUUCGAUUAGCAUUCCCUUUGUUCCACACACUUGUGCAUACCUGGCAUGGUCAGAGUCUAAUUUUUUCCAGUUUAGUGAAUUAAAAUGAUAUC
RNAcentral lists this long non-coding RNA (1114 nucleotides) under Homo sapiens (human). RNAcentral describes it as "HSALNT0377894". Lineage: Eukaryota; Metazoa; Chordata; Mammalia; Primates; Hominidae. The record is from RNAcentral.